This 204-nucleotide unclassified non-coding RNA is filed under the name Hevea brasiliensis (rubber tree). The record is from RNAcentral. Lineage: Eukaryota; Viridiplantae; Streptophyta; Magnoliopsida; Malpighiales; Euphorbiaceae.
ACAACGACCCUGGCCGCGCCCUCGCGAUGGAAGGUUUCAGCAAGCGCCUGACCGAUGCCAUUCGCGCCGCCGGUGACGACGACGAUUUUUCCUGCAACUUUCAUACGGAUGUUUUAGAAGGGAAAGGUGGAGAGAUCAAUUGGCCUGCAGUCCAGCCUGCAAUGCGAACGCCCGUUCAGGCCGUCAUUGCGAGCGAAACGAAGA